GCUUGUCUCAAAGAUUAAGCCAUGCAUGUCUAAGUAUAAGCCUUUAUAUGGUGAGACUGCGAAUGGCUCAUUAAAUCAGAAACUGUUUAUUUGAUAGUGCCUACUACAUGGAUACCUGUAGUAAUUCUAGAGCUAAUACAUGCGCCCAGACCCAACUUUUAGGAAGGGUUGUAUUUAUUAGGUACAGAACCAAUGCAAGCUCCGCUUGACCUUUUGGUGAUUCAUGGUAACCGAACGAAUCGCACGGCACCAGCUGGCGAUGGACCAUUUCAGUUUCUGACCUAUCAGCUUCCGACGGUAGGAUAUGGGCCUACCGUGGCAAUGACGGGUAACGGAGAAUUAGGGUUCGAUUCCGGAGAGGGAGCCUGAGAAACGGCUACCACAUCUAAGGAAGGCAGCAGG
RNAcentral lists this ribosomal RNA (402 nucleotides) under uncultured Gymnodinium. RNAcentral's name for it is "partial small subunit ribosomal RNA". It matches the Rfam family "Eukaryotic small subunit ribosomal RNA", at positions 30 to 432 of the family's 1831-position model. Lineage: Eukaryota; Dinophyceae; Gymnodiniales. The record is from RNAcentral.